GAUGAACGCUGGCGGCGUGCCUAAUACAUGCAAGUCGAGCGAACAGAUGAGGAGCUUGCUCCUCUGACGUUAGCGGCGGACGGGUGAGUAACACGUGGAUAACCUACCUAUAAGACUGGGAUAACUUCGGGAAACCGGAGCUAAUACCGGAUAAUAUAUUGAACCGCAUGGUUCAAUAGUGAAAGACGGUUUUGCUGUCACUUAUAGAUGGAUCCGCGCCGCAUUAGCUAGUUGGUAAGGUAACGGCUUACCAAGGCAACGAUGCGUAGCCGACCUGAGAGGGUGAUCGGCCAGACUGGAAGUGAGACACGGUCCCGACUCCUAGGGGAGGCAGCAGUAGGGAAUCUUCCGCAAGGGGGGAAAGCGUGACGGAGCAACGCGGCGUGAGUGAUGAAGGUGUUCGGAUCGUAAAGCUCUGUUAGUAGGGAAGAACAAAUGUGUAAGUAACUAUGCACGUCUUGACGGUACCUGAUCAGAAAGCCACGGCUAACUACGUG
This 497-nucleotide ribosomal RNA is filed under the name uncultured bacterium. Its description in RNAcentral is "partial 16S ribosomal RNA". It matches the Rfam family "Bacterial small subunit ribosomal RNA", at positions 28 to 507 of the family's 1533-position model. The record is from RNAcentral.